This 112-nucleotide ribosomal RNA is filed under the name uncultured fungus. Its description in RNAcentral is "5.8S ribosomal RNA". It matches the Rfam family "5.8S ribosomal RNA", at positions 43 to 154 of the family's 154-position model. Rfam says of the family: 5.8S ribosomal RNA (5.8S rRNA) is a component of the large subunit of the eukaryotic ribosome. Lineage: Eukaryota; Fungi. The record is from RNAcentral.
ACGCAGCGAAAUGCGAUACGUAAUGUGAAUUGCAGAAUUCAGUGAAUCAUCGAAUCUUUGAACGCACCUUGCGCCCCUUGGCAUUCCGAGGGGCACACCCGUUUGAGUGUCG